CGAAGGGCGGGUUGCCCACUGGGCGUCGGACCCCUGCCGUUCGGCCGGUCCCCUUCAUUAGGGGCUUGGCCGUCCGGGAGGACCGGCGGGCUGGUCUCCAGUUCCCCGGAGCUGGGUGACCGGCUGGUAACCCCCAAUCCACACCAAACACUUUCCUACUGAAGCCAUGCGAGCAGUGGGCAUCGCCCAUCUGUUUCCAACCAAAGACAACUCUCAACAACGGAUAUCUUGGCUCCCGUAACGAUGAAGAACGCAGCGAAAUGCGAUACGUAAUGUGAAUUGCAGAAUUCCGUGAACCAUCGAAUCUUUGAACGCAAAUUGCGCCUGAGCUUCGGUCAAAGGCAUGUCUGUCUCAGCGUCGGCUUACCCCUUCACUUCCCUUUCGAAGUGGAUCUGGCUGUCUGGGCGCUGCCUUUCAGUGGGCAGCCCGGUCGGCUGAAGUGCAGAGGUCAGAGCGCGUCCCAUCAAAGGGCAUCAGCUAGGUAGGCUGCCGAAAGGCUGCAUACCGCUGGUCACCCGGGACGGCUGCUGUUGACCGGCAGGAAUGGGCCCUUCAGUGGGCCCAGCCCCUUCAUUUUCGACCUGAGAUCAGGCAAGAUGACCCGCUGAACUUAAGCAUAUCA
This 623-nucleotide ribosomal RNA is filed under the name uncultured Chlorophyta. RNAcentral's name for it is "eukaryotic LSU rRNA". The stretch from base 209 to 361 matches the Rfam family "5.8S ribosomal RNA". Lineage: Eukaryota; Viridiplantae; Chlorophyta. The record is from RNAcentral.